This 253-nucleotide ribosomal RNA is filed under the name uncultured bacterium. RNAcentral's name for it is "partial 16S ribosomal RNA". It matches the Rfam family "Bacterial small subunit ribosomal RNA", at positions 524 to 776 of the family's 1533-position model. The record is from RNAcentral.
UACAGAGGGUGCGAGCGUUAAUCGGAAUUACUGGGCGUAAAGCGUGCGUAGACGGUUAUUUAAGUCGGGUGUGAAAGCCCCGGGCUCAACCUGGGAAUUGCAUUCGAGACUGAAUAGCUAGGGUACGGUAGAGGGAAGUGGAAUUUCCGGUGUAGCGGUGAAAUGCGUAGAUAUCGGAAGGAACAUCAGUGGCGAAAGCGGCAGCCUGGACCGAUACUGACGCUGAGGUGCGAAAGCGUGGGGAGCAAACAGG